GAUGAACGCUGGCGGCGUGCCUAAUACAUGCAAGUCGAGCGCACGAACUUGAUACUUGUAUCUAUGGUAUUAGCGGCGGACGGGUGAGUAACACGUGGAGAACCUGCCUAUAAGACUGGGACAACUUCGGGAAACCGGAGCUAAUACCGCAUAAUAUCUUUAACCACAUGGUUUAAAAGUGAAAGACGGUCUUGCUGCCCUCAAUAGAUAGAUCCACGUUGCUUUAGUAAGUUGGUAAGUUAACGGCUAACCAAGGCAACAAUCAUAAGCGGACCUGGGAGGUUGAUCGGCCCCAUGGGAACGGGGACACGCUCCAGACCCCUACGGGAGGCGGCAGUAGGGAAUCUUGGCCAAUGAGCGAAGGCCUGACGGAGCAACGCGGCGUGGUGGAUGAAGUUUUCCGGAUCGUAAACCUUGGUUAUUAGGGAGGAACAUAUGUGUAAUUAACUGCGCACAACGUGACGGUAACUACUCAGAAAGCCACGGCUAACUACGUG
This 497-nucleotide ribosomal RNA is filed under the name uncultured bacterium. RNAcentral's name for it is "partial 16S ribosomal RNA". It matches the Rfam family "Bacterial small subunit ribosomal RNA", at positions 28 to 507 of the family's 1533-position model. The record is from RNAcentral.